This 305-nucleotide ribosomal RNA is filed under the name uncultured bacterium. RNAcentral's name for it is "bacterial SSU rRNA". It matches the Rfam family "Bacterial small subunit ribosomal RNA", at positions 335 to 658 of the family's 1533-position model. The record is from RNAcentral.
UACCUACGGGGGGCAGCAGUGGGGAAUAUUGCACAAUGGGGGAAACCCUGAUGCAGCAACGCCGCGUGAGUGAAGAAGUCAUUCGUGAUGUAAAGCUCUAUCAGCAGGGAAGAAAAUGACGGUACCUGAGUAAGAAGCCCCGGCUAACUACGUGCCAGCAGCCGCGGUAAUACGUAGGUGGCAAGCGUUGUCCGGAUUUACUGGGUGUAAAGGGCGUGUAGCCGGGCCGGCAAGUCAGAUGUGAAAUCCCAAGGCUCAACCUUGGAACUGCAUUUGAAACUGUUGGUCUUGAGUAUCGGAGAGGC